GCCUCCCGGGUUCACGCCAUUCUCCUGCCUCAGCGUCCUGAGUAGCUGGGACCACAGGUGCCCACCACCACCUCUGCUCAAUGCGAAGGAAUACAUUCAUGCCAUUGUGCAACCCUCACCACCGCCCAUCUCCAGAACUCUCUUCAUCCUGCAAAACCGAAACUCGGCCCCGGGUGCCCAUCCCCCUCCCCGCCCUGGCAUCCACCCUCUACUUUCUGUCUCUCUGAUCUUGACUGGAAGUAGGUAUGUACUUAGUCCGCAUUUUAAAGUGCAGAGCCUGGGACCCAGUGAGACGAAGUCAUGUGCCUGUGGUCACUUGAUAGAAAAUGGCAAAGCCGGGCAUCUCACCCGAGGUCUGUGUCCACAGCCCCUGCCUUGGUGGCCACUAUACUGUGGCUUCUUUCAAGUGAGUGCUGAGGAGGAAAGGGGAUUACGCUGCACAACCUCAGUGGUGAGAUGAGAUGAACGGGUGGAAACUAAACGUAAGGAAUGUAAGGGAUGGGUGAAAAGAUGCCAGGGAGCCUCCUGGAAGGGCAGCAAGUUCCCAGACAUUCGAAGAAUCAAGGUCCUGAAAGGAUGACCCAGCAGGGACAGGGCAGAGGGGACCCUGCCACAGCUGAGCGAUGGCCUAGAUGCUCGUUCUGGGUGCUGUCCCUUCCGGGACUCUAGCGAAACUGUUUUCCUCUCUAUUCAGAGUCUGCCAUUCAUUGGACUAUAAUGCCCCAUUUCAUCUGAUUGAUGACCCAAAUAGCUUCAAGUAGCUCUCCGCGGGUGGCCAGCCGCCCUGGAGGGUGUCCAGUUACAGGAGCUGAGCACACUGGACGCCUUUUCUCUUCCACAGUGGGCAAUGCACGGUGGGUCCCCCCUCGUCAGGAUUAAUGAGAGCUUUGGUUGCAGGGCCCCCCCCACCCCCCGCCUGUUGCCACGUGACAGUCUCACAAGCUCACCCGGGAGGAGAGGAGAGAAGCCCAUCAGGUCACUGAAGUGGGCAGUAGAACCCAGGAGAGGAAGAAAGAAAGGAGAGAGGGGGAAGUGGAUGCAGAGACAGAGCCAUUGAAAGUGUUUUCCAACAAUGGACUUGGAUAGGCUUCCCCUGCCCCUGCAGCAGGGAGCUCGCUGUGCCUGCGCCGCUGCAGUACUGACGAAUUCAUCCCUGUCCAAGGAGAGUGAAGUGAAGGUCCGUGAGGCGAGACCUGCUGGCACUCAGGGUGCGUGGGGCCUGGACCCGUGUCCAAGUGCUCCCUCCUUACUGAGGAGCUGGGUUGCCAGGUGCAGCGGCAGUUUCUCUAAGCCGCGUUCAGAGCUGAGUUACUGGGUUCUGUGUGAGAAGGGAGCCCACGCCUGAGCCUGUGGGACAGGUCUCGGCUGGAGCAGGUGGUCUGUGCCCCUCCUCACCCCAUCUGUCCUGGCUUGCUCUCACCUCAGCUUCCUGGCCUUCCCAGGAAGUCCUUAGGGUCUCAUCCUCACCCUAAAGCAGGCCCCUCCACUUGAGGCGCCUUCACACUGAGAUGCCCGCUGAUCUUCCCAGGGCCCUCAUCUCCGUGGCUCUAAGCUGUUCACCUUCACCCUGGACCCCCAGGAGGUCAGUGGAUGAAGGACAAAGAGCAACAACUCUGCUGCCAGCACCAAAAAGCCCUCUGCUGACUCCCUCAAGUCCUCUUUUGCAGAUACCUACAAAGGUCCUUGAAAGAAAAAAGAACUAGAAUUAUGAACAAA
Molecule: long non-coding RNA, 1716 nt
Organism: Gorilla gorilla gorilla (western lowland gorilla)
Lineage: Eukaryota; Metazoa; Chordata; Mammalia; Primates; Hominidae
Exons: 2
Source: RefSeq, a predicted model, not a curated record